GAUGAACGCUAGCGGCAGGCCUAACACAUGCAAGUCGAACGGUAACAGAUCUAGCUUGCUAGAUGCUGACGAGUGGCGCACGGGUGCGUAACGCGUAUGCAACUUACCCCUAACUAGAGAAUAGCCUUUCGAAAGGAAGAAUAAUACUCCAUAAUAUUUCGCUGUGGCAUCACAGCGUUCUUAAAGCUUCGGCGGUUAGGGAUGGGCAUGCGUCCUAUUAGUUUGUUGGUGAGGUAACGGCUCACCAAGACUACGAUAGUAGGGGGGCCUGAAGAGGGUUACUCCCCACACUGGUACUGAGACACGGACCAGACUCCGUACGGGAGGCAGCAGGUGGGGAAUAUUGCAACAAUGGACGAAAGUCUGAUGCAGCAACGCCGCGUGGAGGAUGACACUAGUUUCGGUGACGUAAA
RNAcentral lists this ribosomal RNA (413 nucleotides) under uncultured bacterium. RNAcentral's name for it is "bacterial SSU rRNA". It matches the Rfam family "Bacterial small subunit ribosomal RNA", at positions 28 to 429 of the family's 1533-position model. The record is from RNAcentral.